CAAGACAACUUUACGGAGUUGACGAUUGACGGAGCGAAGCGACGUCAAAGCGUUCAUUAAAGUCGAGUUGGCUUAGGGAUACGUUCGUUGGGUAGGGGAGCGUUCUGUAAGCCUGUGAAGGUGUGUCGUGAGGCAUGCUGGAGGUAUCAGAAGUGCGAAUGCUGACAUAAGUAACGAUAAAGCGGGUGAAAAGCCCGCUCGCCGGAAGACCAAGGGUUCCUGUCCAACGUUAAUCGGGGCAGGGUGAGUCGACCCCUAAGGCGAGGCCGAAAGGCGUAGUCGAUGGGAAACGGGUUAAUAUUCCCGUACUUGGUGUUACUGCGAAGGGGGGACGGAGAAGGCUAUGUUGGCCGGGCGACGGUUGUCCCGGUUUAAGCGUGUAGGUGUGUGUUCCAGGUAAAUCCGGUUCACUUUAACACUGAG
This 423-nucleotide ribosomal RNA is filed under the name Salmonella enterica subsp. enterica. Its description in RNAcentral is "partial 23S ribosomal RNA". It matches the Rfam family "Bacterial large subunit ribosomal RNA", at positions 1163 to 1560 of the family's 2925-position model. Lineage: Bacteria; Pseudomonadati; Pseudomonadota; Gammaproteobacteria; Enterobacterales; Enterobacteriaceae. The record is from RNAcentral.